This 946-nucleotide ribosomal RNA is filed under the name Massarina albocarnis. RNAcentral describes it as "eukaryotic LSU rRNA". It matches the Rfam family "Eukaryotic large subunit ribosomal RNA", at positions 1 to 963 of the family's 3401-position model. Lineage: Eukaryota; Fungi; Ascomycota; Dothideomycetes; Pleosporales; Massarinaceae. The record is from RNAcentral.
UUUGACCUCGGAUCAGGUAGGGAUACCCGCUGAACUUAAGCAUAUCAAUAAGCGGAGGAAAAGAAACCAACAGGGAUUGCCCUAGUAACGGCGAGUGAAGCGGCAAGAGCUCAAAUUUGAAAUCUGGCCCCUCUAGGGUCCGAGUUGUAAUUUGUAGAGGGCGCUUUGGCGUCGGCCACGGCCUAAGUUCCUUGGAACAGGACGCCACAGAGGGUGAGAACCCCGUACGUGGCCGCUGGCCUUCGCCGUGUAAAGCCCCUUCGACGAGUCGAGUUGUUUGGGGAUGCAGCUCUAAAUGGGAGGUAAAUUUCUUCUAAAGCUAAAUACUGGCCAGAGACCGAUAGCGCACAAGUAGAGUGAUCGAAAGAUGAAAAGCACUUUGGAAAGAGAGUCAAAAAGCACGUGAAAUUGUUGAAAGGGAAGCGCUUGCAGCCAGACUUGCCUGUAGUUGCUCAUCCGAGCUCCCGCUCGGUGCACUCUUCUACGGGCAGGCCAGCAUCAGUCCGGGCGGUCGGAUAAAGGCCUCGGGAAUGUAGCUCCCUCCGGGGAGUGUUAUAGCCCGGGGUGCCAUGCGACCAGCCUGGACUGAGGUCCGCGCAUCUGCUAGGAUGCUGGCGUAAUGGCUGUAAGCGGCCCGUCUUGAAACACGGACCAAGGAGUCUAACAUCUAUGCGAGUGUUUGGGUGUCAAGCCCGGGCGCGCAAUGAAAGUGAACGGAGGUGGGAACCCCUCGGGGCGCACCAUCGACCGAUCCUGAUGUCUUCGGAUGGAUUUGAGUAAGAGCAUAGCUGUUGGGACCCGAAAGAUGGUGAACUAUGCCUGAAUAGGGUGAAGCCAGAGGAAACUCUGGUGGAGGCUCGCAGCGGUUCUGACGUGCAAAUCGAUCGUCAAAUUUGGGCAUAGGGGCGAAAGACUAAUCGAACUAUCUAGUAGCUGGUUCCUGCCG